This is a long non-coding RNA of Oncorhynchus tshawytscha (Chinook salmon), 1129 nucleotides long. RefSeq lists it as uncharacterized. Lineage: Eukaryota; Metazoa; Chordata; Actinopteri; Salmoniformes; Salmonidae. The transcript has 3 exons. The record is from RefSeq and is a predicted model, not a curated record.
UCCUUCUCUCUCUACCCCCUUCUUUCUCUCCUUGUUGCGUUCCCUGUGGUUUUGUGGUUGUGAACCUUGUGAACUGUUAAUCCUGCGCUCAGUCAGUCGGUGGGUUCAUUGGUCUGUACAUCACAGGAUCCAUCCAACGGCUCAGGGGAGAAGUGGCGGCUGGUGUUAUUGGGCGCUCUCCUCAUCUGUGGGUUAAACCUGGAGUUUGGACAGUGCCAGCAGGAUGAGUAGGAGGGACGGACCAGCCCACCAGGCCGUAAGCCUAAACCCAGUAACAGUAAACCAGUGAGGGGAGCAGGAGGGACCGACCAGCCCACCAGGCCGUAAGCCUAAACCCAGUAACAGUAAACCAGUGAGGGGAGCAGGAGGGACGGACCAGCCCACCAGGCCGUAAGCCUAAACCCAGUAACAGUAAACCAGUGAGGGGAGCAGGAGGGACGGACCAGCCCACCAGGCCGUAAGCCUAAACCCAGUAACAGUAAACCAGUGAGGGGAGCAGGAGGGACGGACCAGCCCACCAGGCCGUAAGCCUAAACCCAGUAACAGUAAACCAGUGAGGGGAGCAGGAGGGACCGACCAGCCCACCAGGCCGUAAGCCUAAACCCAGUAAGGGUAAACCAGUGAGGGGAGCAGGAGGGACGGACCAGCCCACCAGGACGUAAGCCUAAACCCAGUAAGGGUAAACCAGUGAGGGGAGCAGAAGGGACGGACCAGCCCACCAGGACGUAAGCCUAAACCCAGUAAGGGUAAACCAGUGAGGGGAGCAGGAGGGACAGACCAGCCCACCAGGACGUAAGCCUAAACCCAGUAAGGGUAAACCAGUGAGGGGAGCAGGUCAACCCAAAGCUAAAGCAACACCGGCCCUGUUCCUCUGACACAGGCUGAGUUAGUGUGGGUUGAGUUCCAGCGUGUAGGGGGCCGUCUGAGUGUCCGGGUCGGCGACACCAUGAAGCUGAGGUGGAAAGGGAACCCCUGAUGCGUCAGGCGUUCCUGCUUACCUAGAGGACAACGAGGUGAGACUCAGGUGAGACUCCGGUCCUGACGAUGUGAUGGGACAGGGUGCCAUGGAAACAGGCCUCCAUGGCAACAAGGGCUCACUAGAAAAAGUGACCUCAGUCUCAAUGUUGUU